CAUUAGAAAACUAAAAGUUAGUACUGGUCUCUUAAACCAUUAAUUGGUAAUUUACGCUUACCUCUAAUGA
Molecule: transfer RNA, 70 nt
Filed under: Dianemobius fascipes
Lineage: Eukaryota; Metazoa; Arthropoda; Insecta; Orthoptera; Trigonidiidae
Also listed under: 1 other name
Description: tRNA-Lys
Source: RNAcentral